Molecule: long non-coding RNA, 226 nt
Filed under: Olea europaea subsp. europaea
Lineage: Eukaryota; Viridiplantae; Streptophyta; Magnoliopsida; Lamiales; Oleaceae
Source: RNAcentral
AUACAUGUUUCUAACNAUAUGGAGGCCAAGUGCUCCGCCAUUAUUGAUUAUUGAUUGAUCAAUUGAGUACAGAUUAUUACUCAGCUAGGGUUUUAAGGGUCGAUCGAUGAAAUUGAGAGAAGGCAGACAAUUGAAAUGCCUCAAACUUUGAAGGGUAAUUGGGUAAAUGGGAAAGAAGAUUCUAGAUUACGGUGCUUGUAACUUUUUGUAAAUUUCACAAGGGUCC